Molecule: long non-coding RNA, 3790 nt
Organism: Monomorium pharaonis (pharaoh ant)
Lineage: Eukaryota; Metazoa; Arthropoda; Insecta; Hymenoptera; Formicidae
Exons: 2
Source: RefSeq, a predicted model, not a curated record
AGUCCCGACCCCGCACACCGCCAAACGGUCCCGUUGUCAGGGACGCCGGAAAUCGCUGUAGCAGAUGCUCUACGUUGCAGUUAAUUGAAGAAAUAAAUAUGCGAGACUGAUAUGCGCGCGUGGAGCUCAGGCGGCGCUAGACAAGCGGCUCGAGACGACGGCGAACAAUCGUGAUUCCUGUCUGUAUAUAGGUCAAGCUGCAAUUCAUCGUGGUUACGUUUGAGCGUCCGAACGAGUCAGCGUUUUGCAGAGUACAUAUAUCACAACGGCAAUGUUAAAGUAAGUGUACCAGAAAAAGGUGAGUGCAAAGAAACAUGCUCCCUUUAUUUGAUUAACAAAAAACGAAAGAGAAAGUAUUAAAAAUAUUGAAAAGAGAAAAAGACAUGUAAAAACGAGUAAUCAUAUUCUGAUUACAAUUAUAGAAGGGGGUGAAGAGAGAGAGAGAGAGAGAGAGAGAGAGAGAGAGAGAGAGAGAGAGAGAGAAAGAGAGAAUUUAGGAACAGCCAUGAGAAAGCAAAAGAAAACAAUUGAAUCUUUUUAUUUAAAAAUUAUAUGAGAGAAAAUAUAUAUGAGAGGAGAAAACAAAAAGAUUAAAACAAUUAAAAAUUUAAGGGAAAUGGCAAAAGUAAAAUUUUAUUUUCCACAAAGUAAACAAAAUAUUACAAUUAUCUUUCUGCCACAAAUUUUGGUAGCUAUAUUAAUUAAUGCAUAAAUGUUUUAACUUAAAACUUAAGAUUUGCUUUCUCUUGUUUCAUUAUUUCUAAUAAAAAAUUCUAAUUAUAGAAAGAAAUAUAAUAAUUUUAAAUAUGAAAAUAAAAAGGAUAAUAUGAAAAUUGCUAGCGCCUUACUUUGCAUUAGGAAGUAAAUAGAAUGCCUUUAAUGAUCUCUCACGCGAAAAAAGUGAAUCAGACAGUUGCAAUUUGUACGUGUGCAACUAAUUUACAUGCAAUUCGUGUUUUUUUUUUCAUGGAUGAGCGUGCAGUCAGAACGGAAAUCGGCUGUGGACAGUUUUCAUCGAGGAAGAUAAUCGUUCUCGCCUUUUCCAUUCCAUGUCCGCUCCGAGAGGAAUCGUCGCGCGCUUCACGCGCUCAAAAGAAGCAUACGCUUGCUCGACGAUGUAAUGCGUAAGACGUCGUAACGGCGCUCGCGAAUUAUUAUGAAACGCUCGACGGUUGUUAUUGCCGCAUCUAAUAUCGACUGGACUUAACGAGAUACUAGCUCGAGGCUUUUUCGAUCCCGGAUCAUGCCGCGAAAGCAGUUUUUAAUAUUGGAACGGUUAAACCGGUAAGCAUUUUUUUUAUCAGUCACAGAAACUAUCUUUGAACGGCAUACAAAUUUUAAUUUGUUUUGAUUUUAUAUAUUAAUAAUGAAAAUUGUGAAGAAAAGAGUUUUUUUUUCAUAAAUUGAAUAUAAGCAUAAGCUACACAUGAAAAAUUUUUUGUAUACACUGUAAAAUUAUGCACUUAUUAUACCCUGUAAAAAAAUAUUUAAAAUUACAUAAAUAACAUGGAAAAAUAAAAGAAUUUAAAAUAAAAUAUAUAAAAUUUUGCAUUUUAACAAAUAUGAAUAUGUUAGUUACCAAUUUUUAUAUUAUAAUAAAUACAUAUUUUUAUACUACAUAAAAAUAAUAAUAUUUUAUAACUUUUGUGUAAAUGUACACAUUUGUGUACUAUUAUAUAAGAUAAUUGUAAUAUCGCACAUACGUAUUUGCAUUACAUACAUAUGUAUUUGUAUUUUUACAUAUAGCAUUUCUUACAUCUAGCUUAAACUAAAUUGUAUUUUUUUAAUUGUAAAUUAAUAUAUAAAUUUUCUGUAAAUAUAACUUCUUUUUGUAAUUAUAAAUUUAUUUUGCAAGUCAUAUAAUUAUUAUUAAAAAAAAUAAUUUUAUUUGUAAGUUUUAUUCUAACGUGCAUAAACACUUUUAAUAAUCCCAAUAGAUCUCGAAUUUACUGACAAUAAUAAUUAUAUAUAAUUUAAUAUGUUAUAUUUUUACAGCGUGUAACAUAAAAUGCAAGUUUAUAUUUUUUAUAAGUUGUAAUAUGAAGAUUAUUAUAACAUUAUUACAUCUUGUAUGUUCGCAUAAUAGUAUCACAUAUUAAAUGAGGAUUGUAUAAGUUUCUAAUGAUCACAAGAUUAUUUCCAAUUCAUAUGUUUCCCUGUGGCAAUUAUGUAAUUUUCCGCAUUAUGUGUAGAAACGCGUAGAUCAUUAAUAUUAAUGGAUAAAUAUUCCUCACAUGGCGCUCUAGGGUCAAAAUUGUUUGAUCCGACUCCUCCUUGAUCUUUCAAAGACGUUUUAAUUUCAAAUCACACAAAUGCACGAGGAAAACGUGCACCAGGAAAUUGAAAAAAAGUUUUCUUGCGUUACAUAAAUUGAUGCGUAGACGAAAGAAAUGUCGAGAGAGGCGUUGUACGACGUCGUGUAUACCCGAGUUUUUGAUUAUUCGCGAUUGCGAUGAACGAGACUGCGCGCCGCAUUUCUGUACUUUGAUACGCGAUAUCGUACGAUUGACUGAUUGGCAUAAACACACAUUGUAGGCCUAUAACAUUGUAGGCCUAUUGUCCAUAUCUAUACUUCACAUUCAGUGCUAAGUACCGUUUGAAUCUGAGUUUUGUACGAAUAAGAUUUAAAAAGAUACAAUAAACGGAAUGUUUAGGAAAGAAUUUUUAAUAUUAGAUGUGAGGGGAAGAGAGCUAUUUGAACUUUUAAAAUUAAAUGUGAUACCAUAGAUAUAUACUUUAAUAUAUGUAUAUAUUUGAUAUCUAAAAAUUCUAUCAUCUUCUAUAAAAAAAACUUUAAAUUUAAUGUUUUUUAUUUAUCAGAAUAUAGAUAAUCUUUGCAGAAUAUUGUAACAAUUGAUAUACAAUUUGUAAUAAUUUGUACAUCAUAUUAUAUUUUCAAAUAUCGAUCUUUACGCAUUUGAUCUUAGCGGGUGGGAAUAAUUUAAUGCACUUGUGGUGCUCGUUAGCAGCACACGCACCGCUCGCGGUCGUUUUAUCUACGUGGCCAGGACCGGCUUUCAGAAGAUGGGUCUAUGGGAUUGCUGUCUCAGCACUGCCCUGAGGACUUUUUCAAGACCGAGAGAAAAAUAAUUACACGUUCUUCCUCUCUCUCUUCCAAAAUAUAUAAAUUGUAUAUCAAACUCAAGAAUUAUAAUAAUAAUUUAAUGCUAAUAAGAAUAAGAAUAAUAAUAUAUACAUGUAAUAAAAAUACCAUUAAUAUUUGUAGUUGUAACGUAAGUUAUUGUAAUUAAUAAUGAGAGAUAUUAAUUAGAUGAUUACGAGGCAUGCAAUGAAAUGAAAAUGUAUGCAGUGCUCGGCAUAUAUUCUAUUCGUGCAGACUUGUUUGUUGAGGUUGCAAAAUCUAAUUGGCCGACCAUUCUUAAGUCAAGUUUCGCGCGAGAAUUCCAAUGGGGAUUCGCAUACACGGAUUUUAUGAUUGCUUGAUCUUGUUAGCCGUUAUGCGCGCGUUGCCCAUCUUUCCCAAAGGCUAUUUCGUCAUGCGAUUAAUGUUAUUGUCACUAAAAUUAAUAUUCUAAGUACACGGCAUAUUGUAAUUUCAAAGUCCAAAUCAUAUUCUGUAUUAUCAAAUCAUAUUAUAAAUGUUUUGUAUAUAUGUAAUGUUUUUAUUAACAUUAUAUAUUCUAUAUAAUAAGAUUUAUAAAAUAAUUUCUAAGUUGAAAGACGAUAGAAAAGUUAGCAAUUUCAAUUAUAAUGUUAUAAAUAUAUAAAGAUAUGAAUGUUUAUGUGUAUUUUUAUUUGUUAGAAUUCAAUACAAUUGUAGUACAAACCA